This is a long non-coding RNA of Aegilops tauschii subsp. strangulata, 2039 nucleotides long. RefSeq lists it as uncharacterized. The record is from RefSeq and is a predicted model, not a curated record. NCBI's taxonomy places the organism in Eukaryota, Viridiplantae, Streptophyta, Magnoliopsida, Poales, Poaceae.
UGCAGCCUGAGUCGGCGGGGAUAGCUCUGGAGCUGGCGGCGCGCGUGUGCUGUUCGUGGUGGGCGAUUUUUUGCUGCCCUCCAUCUUGAUGAUUCACCGCUUGCUUCCAGGCUCUUUGGCCUCAUCACCUCCACCUUGUCCCUGAGAGAGCAACACGACGACGAAGAGGUCGAGAUGAAAUGGGCAGCCAUCGAGCGGCUGCCCACCUGGGACAGGCUCCAUACCUCGCCCCCUCUCCACGCCAGCGGCAAUGCCGACGGCGCUCGUCCGCUGGAGCCGGUCGACGCGGGCCGGCUAGGGGCGGCGGACUGGCAGGAGCAGGUUACGCCUGCUUCGCCGCCGGCGCCACUGGAUGGACAGGGUCGGCGUGCGGCAGCCGAUGUUGGAGGUCCGGUGGCGGAACCUGCGCGUCGAUGCCGAGUGCCAGGUCGUCGAUGGCAAGCCGCUCCUCAAGUCCGCCAUCUCCGCUCGUUCAAAAAAAAAAAAAACUCCGCCAUCUCCAAGCUCUCGCUGCAGCUGCUCACCACCAUGCUGGGCUUCAACCAUAUAACAAAGAAAGGAUGAAGGAUCCACAUCCUCAAAGAUGUCACCGGCAUCCUCAAACCAUCCAGGAUGACCCUUCUCCUUGGACCCCCAGGCUGUGGCAAAACCACCCUUUUGCUAGCACUUGCUGGAAAGCUACCAAAAAUCUAAGAUAACACGAGAACUUGACUACAAUUAAUGGUGUCAAGCUGCAAAAUUUUGUUCCAGAAAAGACAGCACCUUACAUUGGUCAGUAUGAUCUUCAUAUCCCUGAGAUGACUGUCACGGAGAUGCUCGACUUCUCUGCAAGAUUCCAGGGCGUUGGCAGAAGAGCAGAAUAGAAAUCAUGAAGGAAGUCAUUAGAUGCUUCGAGUUCGACUGCUCCUCCUUCGCCGGUCUUAGCCCAGCAAGUGUUGUGGCUAGGUGGUGAGGAACAGAGAAUCAAACGGGCAGACCAUGCUGGAGAAGAUGGUGACCUUUGCUGACCCGCUUACGCCCCACCCGGCAUCUCCUUAGUUAUCUUUCUCGGUUCCAGUAACCUGCUUUCAUCUACUUUCCGCCUAGGUCUGACUUGCUGAAUCCUACUGUUGUUUAAACCUUGUGUUUGGUUUCACUGAUUAAUGGAACCGGGCGGGCGCUCUGUUUAUCUGAAAAAAUACAGAACCACACCAUAGUGUCUAAAAUGUUUCCGAUAAUUAAGAAAUUAUCAUUAAGAAUUAUUCCGUUGAGCCAUGAUUAAUAUCUGCUGCUACUAGGCUUAGUUUGGUUGUAUAUUUUGCUUAUCUAAACCACACAAUUGUAUUUGUUUCCUGUAGUUUUAGUUCCUAAUUAUGUAUCAUGACAAAUCAGCAUGCCAAGCAAAAAAGGGACUCAACUUAGCCACAAAGACAUAUAACUUCGAGAUAUUUAUAACUUCAGUGCUAACUCCCUUCUGUGUACCUAAAAAAGGAAGUGCAGACGAAACUACUUUUGAGCGGAAAGGUGAAUUUGUAUUGGACAUGCACUAAUUGUUUUAUGCUUUGUGGUGUUGUGAAGGAAAUGUAGUAAAGAGGGAAUAUAUCCUUUCCCUGCACCAGCAUAGGAUAAAAGUGUGCCAGAUUUGUGGCAUAAGGUAGUGACGAAUAGUGAAAUCCUCGCUGGGGAGGUAAGAUCUUCAUUUUUGUGAAAGAAUCUCCUCUUCUAACCGCUUUAUCAACUCAUAUUUAGAUCCAUCUGGAUCAAGUAAUUUUGCAUAUGGUUUUCUUAGUCAAGCUGAUAAGAUAGGCUAUGUGGAAUUGUGGAUGGAAGGUUGAAAAAGUGUUAUGUCACAUGAUAACUAGAUAAUUUCUACCUCACCUGUCAAUCAAUAUGCAAGUUUUCUACAAGAAUGAGAUGACACUUGAAGUACAAGCUAUGAAAUCUGCUAAGUUGAGAUAUCAGAUAACUACGUUAAUAAAUUAGGAGACCCUAACUAGCUAAUUCAUAAAUCACCAUUCACCGGGCUUAUGACAUUGAAGGCCUCCCUGUAGAUUAUUAUA